AAUAAAUAACUAAGGAUACAGUGCAGAUGAAUAAAUGGGUAUGGUAGAUGAAUAACUUUGUUCAAACUCAUUCUAAUAUUGCAUGUAGUAGAGGACUGUUAAUGCACGAAUUAAACAAGUACGGGUGAGUCUCUGGGGAAGGUGAAGAAUCAAUCUCUAAUCCACGAGCUGAACUUGAAGCCGGACAAUCGACGGGCUGAAAGGCUUGUUGCGAACUGAGAGCAUAGUUGAGGGCGCUACGAGGCGAUGCUGUUUCGAGCUGGUGGUUCUGGUGAGCUGGCUCUUCUGGGCGAGCUGGAUGAUCUUCGAUGAGCGGACUUCUCUCGACGAGCCGACUUGUAUCGAUGAGCUGACUCUUCUGGGCGAGCUGGAUGAUCUUGACGAGGCGACUUCUCUCGACGAGCUGUCUUCUAUCGAUGAGCUGGCUCUUCUGGGCGAACUGGAUGAUCUGGGCGAGCUGACUUGUGCUAUCCUCUCUCCAGGUCCCGAAAAACGUCCCCUUUUUCCCGAGACUUUCUAUUCCUUAUUUAUACCCGUCCGUAUAGUAGGGUACGCAAGGCGAAUUCCCGAGAAUGCCCCUUUUCUACGCAGCCGAACUCACAUCCCGACUAGGCCGGGCUUCGGCCUGCUGGGCCGUUAUUCCUUGAAAUGGGCCGGUUGAUUACUGAGGCCCAAUUGAUGUAUCAACAAGGACUAAAUAUAAAAUACUCCGAAUGGUGGAUUUGUAGAGGAACGUAUACGCAUGAUAAAAU
This 752-nucleotide small RNA is filed under the name Arabidopsis thaliana (thale cress). RNAcentral describes it as "ATSL249160". The record is from RNAcentral. Lineage: Eukaryota; Viridiplantae; Streptophyta; Magnoliopsida; Brassicales; Brassicaceae.